ACACCGUAUUAGUAUUGAUUGGGUAACAGUAUAUAUUACAACAUCAAAGGAGGUGCAGGUCUAGACUACACUCUCUCUUCAUUUCAGAGGUUUAAACUCUAUGACAGCUGGUUGUUUUUUGAAACUUGAUUGUAUACGCUGACUGCAAAAAAAGAAAUCCACAAAGAAUGGGUUGUGGUCCAUCUAAAAUGAAAGAAGGCAAGGAAGGCCAGUGUCACAAAAAGGACAAAGGUCACGGAGAGGGCAAAGGCAAAGGUCAUGGAGAGGGCAAAGGCGAGCAUGGCGAAGGUCACGGCAGACGUGGAUCCAACGACUCCAAAGGCAGUCAUGGCAAAGGCCACGACCAUUAGUGCAGAGUCUUUUUUUGUUCUCCACAUUUGCAGCAAUAUAUUGAUUGUUCACUGUGCGAUUUUUAAAUAAUUGAUGUGAAACUGAGUGACAAUGAUUUGUCUGUAGGUGAAAGAAAAAAAAAAAAACUCCCACAAUUCUCAGUCAUUUCACUUUCACACUUUGUUGCUGUUUUUUUUUUUAUGAGAUUCACAUUGUAUCAUCCAAAAUUUAAAAACGAGAUUCCUUUUUGAGAUUCUUAUAUGAUAUUUUAUACGAGAUUUAACUAAGAGAAUAUGAUAUUUUAUACAAGAUUUAACUAAGAGAAUAUGAUAUUUUAUACCAGAUUUAACUAAGAGAAUAUGAUAUUUUAUACCAGAUUUAACUAAGAGAAUAUGAUAUUUUAUACCAGAUUUAACUAAGAGAAUAUGAUAUUUUAUACCAGAUUUAACUAAGAGAAUAUGAUAUUUUAUACCAGAUUUAACUAAGAGAAUAUGAUAUUUUAUACCAGAUUUAACUAAGAGAAUAUGAUAUUUUAUACCAGAUUUAACUAAGAGAAUAUGAUAUUUUAUACCAGAUUUAACUAAGAGAAUAUGAUAUUUUAUACCAGAUUUAACUAAGAGAAUAUGAUAUUUUAUACCAGAUUUAACUAAGAGAAUACGAUAUUUUAUACCGUGUAGCUUAACUUUGGUUGCAUCAUAGUCUUAUUUUUUAUGUCCUCCUCAAGUGAAUAGGUUAUAGUACUGGUAAAUAGGAACACAUCAUACUAACUUUCAUUCUUUCAAAUAAAGAUUAUCCUAUCAUUAACUGUUGAUAAAAAUUAUCUCUUAAAAUCUCAAGACACGUAUGCAGUAUGUUCCUCUUAUUAGUUAUUUAUCUUUUCAGAGCUGCUUUAUAAGAGAAAGAAACUUAUACUCUCCAAUAUUACUCUUUGAAAAUAAUCUUUGAAGAUGUUCAUUAAUUUCCAGAAGUUUGAUUAGUAGGCCUACUGUUCCUGACACAGCAAAUAAUAAUAAUAAUAAUAAUAAAUAAAUAAAUGGUGUAUUUUUUAAAGAGAUUUAAUCCCUGACACUACAUUGUUUUAAGAUUAUAAACCACGUAUUUAGUUCUUUCAUGUUCAUUAUUACAGAUGUUACAUGUUGUUGUUGGUGUAUAUAUCUAAACGAAGCAGUAUUAAAGUAGACAUUGGGAACAAAAAAAAACAAAUGUCUGUAUAGGUCAUAGGUGAUGUAUGAACAUUGUGAAGAGAAAACAAAUGUCAGGUGUUAUAGAUGUGCAAACAUUGAUGUCCUAGUCAUAUUUGAUUAAUAUUAAACUUCUUGGAUAUCA
Biomphalaria glabrata is the source of this 1656-nucleotide long non-coding RNA. RefSeq lists it as uncharacterized. The record is from RefSeq and is a predicted model, not a curated record. NCBI's taxonomy places the organism in Eukaryota, Metazoa, Mollusca, Gastropoda, Planorbidae. The transcript has 3 exons.